This 376-nucleotide ribosomal RNA is filed under the name uncultured organism. RNAcentral describes it as "partial 16S ribosomal RNA". It matches the Rfam family "Bacterial small subunit ribosomal RNA", at positions 527 to 896 of the family's 1533-position model. The record is from RNAcentral.
GUAGGGUGCGAGCGUUAUCCGGAAUCAUUGGGCGUAAAGAGCUCGUAGGCGGUUCAGCAAGUCGGCUGUGAAAUUCCGAGGCUCAACCUCGGAACUGCAGUCGAUACUGUUGUGACUCGAGUCCGGUAGAGGAGAAUGGAAUUCCCGGUGUAGCGGUGAAAUGCGCAGACAUCGGGAGGAACACCAGUAGCGAAGGCGGUUCUCUGGGCCGGCACUGACGCUGAGGAGCGAAAGCGUGGGGGUAGCAAACAGGAUUAGAUACCCUGGUAGUCCACGCCGUAAACGUUGGAUACUAGGUGUGGCGUUCCGACCAACGGUCGCCGUGCCGAAGCUAACGCAUUAAGUAUCCCCGCCUGGGAGUACGGCCGCAAGGCUA